CCGGCGUCGUGCCAGCCCGUCGUCCGGGGACCGGCGCGGUGACUGUUCGGGGCGCUCGGGAACGUCGGCCCGGAGGACGCUUCGGCGGAGAGCGGCGCGGGCCUGGCGCCGGAACCAACAAAACUACCCAUAAGUAAUUUUAAAGUUGGGAUGAAGAUUGAAGCUGUUGACCAAAAAAAUCCUGGAAUGAUAUACCUGCUACAAUUGGAGCUGUUAGAAAAGAUCAGGUUCAUAUUAUCUUGGAUGGCUGGAAUAGAGCAUUUAAUUAUUGGUGUAGGUAUGAGUCACAAGAUAUUUUCCAAGUUGGAUGGUGUUUCCUGACAGGAGAUGUUUUUCACCCACCAGGAAAUAUUGAUUCUAGUGCAAAGAAUAUGAGAAAAACAGAGUCUUCCACUUGCAAGAUGAAGCCUUCACAGGAAAUUCCACCUUCAAUGAAGCAUUCACAGAAAAUGAUGGUGGUACUACCUAUACUGCAGGCCAAGAAAUCAGGGCAUUCUAAAUCAACUGGAGCUGCAUCAGACCCGAAGAAAGAUAGUUCUCUUAAAAAUAUCACACCAAAGAAAGGAGUAACAAAGCCAAGAAAAGUUACUUAUAACUAUUUGUAAUUUACAAAAAUUGGUCAUUUAUAUUAUAGGUCUGGAGUACCUUAAUAUUUUCAGCAUGCAUUUAAAGAAGGUACAAAGCUGUGCUGAAGUUUUUAGCAAUGUACUGAGUAAAUAUAAGACCUCAUAUGGCUAUUGAGAAAUUAAUAUUUCUCUUUUCAGUAAAUUUAAAGAUGCUUUAAAUUUAAUGUUCUACUUAGGAAAUACUGAUUGAGUAUAUUUGUGGUCAUAAAGUUAAUUUAAAACUCAGUAUCAUUUUGAAAACCAAUCUGAGCUAUAGAAAUUAUAUCUCCACAAUAUGGUGUGAUUUGAUUCAGGUGUCCCCCAUAAACUUAGGUAUUCUGAAUACUAGGUUCCCAGCUGAUAGAGAUUUGGGGAUUAAUGCCACCUGGAGGCACGGUAUUGUUGGGGAUGGGCUUAUGGGUAUUAUAGCUAGUGCCCCCCUUACCAGAAUUUGGCACAACCCCUAUUGCUAUUGUCUGCCUUAUGUUGGCCAAGGGGGUGAUGUCCACCCUCUGCUCAUGCCAUCACUUUCCCCUGUCAUGGUGGAUCUUCCCUUCAAGCCUAUAAGCCAAAAUAAACCUUCCCCCC
Jaculus jaculus (lesser Egyptian jerboa) is the source of this 1193-nucleotide long non-coding RNA. RefSeq lists it as uncharacterized. The record is from RefSeq and is a predicted model, not a curated record. The transcript is spliced from 3 exons. Lineage: Eukaryota; Metazoa; Chordata; Mammalia; Rodentia; Dipodidae.